AAAGCUGCCACAUCUACAAGUGGUGUAAACUGUUGUGUCACCGUCCAGCUGAGAGAAGGCAAACUGUGUGCUGGAGAAUCUUCAGAAGGUAUACAGAAGCAUAAAAGAUGCACAAAAAAUGACUUAAUGCACCAAAACCACCUAAUGAACAAUAUGGUUUGGUUGGGGAAAAAAAUGUAUGAGGAUUUGGUUAAAAAGAAAAUCAUGAAAUGAGCCGAGUAAGAAGUACUUAUUGUACUUUUAGGAGGCAUGCAAGCACGUCCUGUGCAGACUCUCUCUUCCACCCCCCACCAGUCACCGCUGCUUCAAGAAAGUUAUCCAAAAGUGCUGCUUGGGCUGGAGGUUUGUCUGGUUUUUAAACCAAGUAACACAACUUAAACAAAUAUUGUCACAUCUGUCACACCUGAUGUACCAAGCAUAGUCAUCCCAGCAACAAGAGCCAAGGCUGGCUAAAAAAAACUUUUGAAGACAGAAAUGUACCUCUGAACAAAUUGAUAGUAAUGAAGCUAAAGCAAUGUGUUUGAAGAAAGUAGCUCUGAACUCUUUUAAACUGCUAAAGAUUGGUCCAGCUUGAAACUUGCAGCGGGAUUUAACAUGGGGAAAGGAAAGAUGGAAGCAGAAAUAGAUUCUUUCCCUUGCCCAUUUGUCAACACAGGUACUUACAGACAAAGAUUUUGCCCCUACUGAAAAAACGCAGACAUCUAAUCCCUCCAGCUCUAAGACAUGAUGUGGAGACUCAUCUACUUGCUCCCAGUUCUAGCUACCCUUAACAGAAUAACUUUCCUGUCUUUCUGGAUACCUGGCAAAGCCUACAAGUGAAGGAGAGCAAUGAAAGCUUCCUAGUUAUGUUUUCUUGCCUGUUCUCCAGGCCCCUCACCAGCUUCGUCGCCCUUCUCUGGACUCGCUCAAGCACCUCCGUGUCCUUUUUGUAGCGAGGGGCCCAAAACUGAACACAGUACUCGAGGUGCGGCCUCACCAGAGCCGAGUACAGGGGGACGAUCACUUCCCUAGCCCUGCUGGCCACACUGCUUCUGAUACAAGCCAGGAUGCCGUUGGCCUUCUUGGCCACCUGAGCACACUGCUGGCUCAUAUUCAGCCGACUAUCAACCAUCACUCCCAGGUCCUUCUCCUCCAGGCAGCUUUCCAACCAUUCCUCUCCCAGUCUGUAGCUCUGCUUGGGGUUAUUGCACCCCAGGUGCAGGACCCGGC
Molecule: long non-coding RNA, 1209 nt
Filed under: Cairina moschata (Muscovy duck)
Lineage: Eukaryota; Metazoa; Chordata; Aves; Anseriformes; Anatidae
Description: domestica (muscovy Duck (domestic type)) lncRNA (ENSCMMG00000001369.1)
Source: RNAcentral